UACAGAGGUCUCAGGCGUUGUUCGGAUUCAUUGGGCGUAAAGGGUGUGUAGGUGGCGCCGUAAGUCGGGUGUGAAAUUUCGGAGCUUAACUCCGAAACUGCAUUCGAUACUGCGGUGCUUGAGGACUGGAGAGGAGACUGGAAUUCAUGGUGUAGCAGUGAAAUGCGUAGAGAUCAUGAGGAAGACCAGUGGCGAAGGCGGGUCUCUGGACAGUUCCUGACACUGAGACACGAAGGCCAGGGGAGCAAACGGG
RNAcentral lists this ribosomal RNA (253 nucleotides) under uncultured bacterium. RNAcentral describes it as "partial 16S ribosomal RNA". It matches the Rfam family "Bacterial small subunit ribosomal RNA", at positions 524 to 776 of the family's 1533-position model. The record is from RNAcentral.